CGAGAUAACAGAAGGAGCUCUCCUGAGUAGAUUUCAAGUCUGGAUUGAUUUAAUUGUGAACAAUGAAGAUAUCUAAUCCUGCUUUAUUCAUGUUCUUGUGGCUGCAGCUGGAUGAGUUUAUCCAAGGAGAGAAAGUGGAUCAGCAUCCUUCUACCCUGAGUGUCCAGGAUGGAGACAGUGCUGUUAUCAACUGCACUUACUCAGACAGUACUUGGGACUAUUUCUCUUGGUAUAAACAAGAAACUGGAAAAGGUCUCCAGUGUAUUAUAGACAUUCGUUCAAACAAGGAGAUAAGUCAAAUCCAAAGAUUCAUUGUUGUGUUGGAUAAGAAAGCCAAACACUUCUUCCUGAACAUCACAGCCACUCAGCUUGGAGACUCAGCUGUCUACUUCUGUGCAGCCAGUGCAUGAUGCUUCCCAGACACCUGCAGCCUGUACUCAAACCUGCCACUGGGCAGAGCUCUACCUGCUUCCUUUGUCACAGUCUUCCCAUAGCAUUUGCCUCAAUGCAAAUGAAAAUAGCAUAUUAACAUUAAAUACAUAUAGUAAACAGGUUGGGUUCAUUAUGACCCAGUUACUUAAUAAUUUUGGUUAACAAUUUUUUCCAACUUUUUUGUGUGUAUU
Marmota monax (woodchuck) is the source of this 623-nucleotide non-coding RNA. The record is from the annotation of a RefSeq genome assembly. NCBI's taxonomy places the organism in Eukaryota, Metazoa, Chordata, Mammalia, Rodentia, Sciuridae.